GUCCAGCCGCGGUAAUACCGGCAGCCCGAGUGAUGGCCGAUCUUAUUGGGCCUAAAGCGUCCGUAGCUGGCUGCGCCAGUCCGUCUGGAAAUCCACUCGCCCAACGAGUGGGCGUCCGACGGAAACUGCACAGCUUGGGACCGGAAGGCGCGAAGGGUACGUUCGGGGUAGGAGUGAAAUCCCAUAAUCCCGCACGGACCACCGAUGGCGAAAGCACUUCGAGAAAACGGAUCCGACAGUGAGGGACGAAAGCCAGGGUCUCCAACCGGAUUAGAAACCCUUGUAGUCC
Molecule: ribosomal RNA, 289 nt
Filed under: uncultured bacterium
Lineage: Bacteria
Description: partial 16S ribosomal RNA
Rfam family: Archaeal small subunit ribosomal RNA
Source: RNAcentral